RNAcentral lists this ribosomal RNA (911 nucleotides) under uncultured prokaryote. Its description in RNAcentral is "bacterial SSU rRNA". It matches the Rfam family "Bacterial small subunit ribosomal RNA", at positions 521 to 1433 of the family's 1533-position model. The record is from RNAcentral.
UAAUACGAAGGGACCUAGCGUAGUUCGGAAUUACUGGGCUUAAAGAGUUCGUAGGUGGUUAAAAAAGUUGAUGGUGAAAUCCCAGAGCUUAACUCUGGAACUGCCAUCAAAACUUUUUAGCUAGAGUAUGAUAGAGGAAAGCAGAAUUUCUAGUGUAGAGGUGAAAUUCGUAGAUAUUAGAAAGAAUACCAAUUGCGAAGGCAGCUUUCUGGAUCAUUACUGACGCUGAGGAACGAAAGCAUGGGUAGCGAAGAGGAUUAGAUACCCUCGUAGUCCAUGCCGUAAACGAUGUGUGUUAGACGUUGGGAAUUUAUUUUCAGUGUCGCAGUGAAAACAAUAAACACACCGCCUGGGGAGUACGACCGCAAGGUUAAAACUCAAAUGAAUUGACGGGGACCCGCACAAGUAGUGGAGCAUGUGGUUUAAUUCGAAGAUACGCGCAGAACCUUACCAACACUUGACAUGUUCGUCGCGACUCUAAGAGAUUAGAGUUUUCGGUUCGGCCGGACGAAACACAGGUGCUGCAUGGCUGUCGUCAGCUCGUGUCGUGAGAUGUUGGGUUAAGUCCCGCAACGAGCGCAACCCUUACUUUUAGUUGCCAUCAUUUAGUUGGGCACUCUGAAAGAACUGCCAGUGAUAAGCUGGAGGAAGGUGGGGAUGACGUCAAGUCCUCAUGGCCCUUACGUGUUGGGCUACACACGUGCUACAAUGGUAUCUACAACAGGAAGCAAAACAGCGAUGUUAAGCAAAUCCCGAAAAGAUACCUCAGUUCGGAUUGCACUCUGCAACUCGAGUGCAUGAAGCUGGAAUUACUAGUAAUCGUGGAUCAGCGUGCCACGGUGAAUACGUUCCCGGGUCUUGUACACACCGCCCGUCACACCAUGGGAGUUGGUUCUACCUUAAGGCAAAGC